Long non-coding RNA from Mytilus trossulus (common blue mussel), 454 nucleotides. RefSeq lists it as uncharacterized. The transcript is spliced from 3 exons. The record is from RefSeq and is a predicted model, not a curated record. NCBI's taxonomy places the organism in Eukaryota, Metazoa, Mollusca, Bivalvia, Mytilida, Mytilidae.
GGAACUACUCGGCCUUUCUGGUUGCACGAAGUGAAUAGCCGAGUAGUUCCGACUGACUAUGUUACAUAAGCCAAAUCACACAUACAGAUCUUAGCGCUCAAAUGUAAUUCUUGGUGAAGUAUACAGGUCUGCAUAUCAGUAUAGUCCAAGUGAAUUAGUAAUAGUUCUGAGUUGUUUUUUUCUUCUUCAUAGAAUUAGAAGGACUUCUGAAUCCAACCAUGUAGUAUGGAAUGUUCUUGAGAUAUGGUUUUGGUCGAUGGAUGAUCACGAAGGACCUGUAGUACAAAGUAUAUCACUGGAUUUAGCUCUUUAUCUAAGUGUAUUAUUAAAUUACUUUGCUUUGAGCUCAGUUCAUUGUUAUGCAAUUCUUUCUUUGUAAAAUAAAGAUUUGACAGACAACUCUCAUGUACAAGGAUUUGUCAAAGUAGUAUCACCUCUUAUGUACAAUGUAAGU